AAACUGCGAUAAGUAGUGUGAAUUGCAUUUAGUGAAUCAUCGAAUCUUUGAACGCACCUUGCACUCACUGGUAUUCCGGUGAGUACGCCUGUUUCAGUAUCAUUGAAAACACACAAUCAAAACAUUUUCUUUGGUUUGAUUGGCUUUGGGUCUAUCAAAAAGUUUGGCUUGUUUCUUACAAGCCAAGCGGCCUGAAAUAUAUUGUCUGGCUAAUUGCAUCGUUGAUGAUCGCUAUUAGACUUUGGCUUUUUUAAAUGAACUGGAGGUUGAUUAACCAGUUUUAGCUUUAGUCAAAUGGUCAUUGUAAAAAAAAUCUCGAUCUUGGCUAGGUGUUUAUAGCCGAAAAUUUUUUUUUGGCUAUAACCGAAACCAAUAUAAUCACAUUUAGUUUUCGAUCUGAAAUCAGGUGGGACUACCCGCUGAACUUAAGC
This 431-nucleotide unclassified non-coding RNA is filed under the name plant metagenome. Its description in RNAcentral is "partial contains 5.8S ribosomal RNA, internal transcribed spacer 2, and large subunit ribosomal RNA". The stretch from base 1 to 102 matches the Rfam family "5.8S ribosomal RNA", at positions 50 to 154 of the family's 154-position model. The record is from RNAcentral.